Molecule: ribosomal RNA, 439 nt
Filed under: uncultured soil bacterium
Lineage: Bacteria
Description: bacterial SSU rRNA
Rfam family: Bacterial small subunit ribosomal RNA
Source: RNAcentral
AGAGCGAACGCUGGCGGCAGGCCUAAUACAUGCAAGUCGAGCGGCCACUUCGGUGGCAGCGGCGGACGGGUGAGUAACGCGUGGGAAUGUGCCCUUUGGUACGGAACAACUGAGGGAAACUUCAGCUAAUACCGUAUGUGCCCUUCGGGGGAAAGAUUUAUUGCCAUUGGAGCAGCCCGCGUUGGAUUAGCUAGUUGGUGGGGUAAAGCCCACAAGGCGACGAUCCAUAGCUGGUCUGAGAGGAUGAUCAGCCACACUGGGACUGAGACACGGCCCAGACUCCUACGGGAGGCAGCAGUAGGGAAUCUGCGCAAUGGGCGAAAGCCUGACGCAGCCAUGCCGCGUGAAUGAUGAAGGUCUUAGGAUUGUAAAAUUCUUUCACCGGGAAGAUAAUGACGUACCCGGAGAAGAAGCCCGGCUAACUCGUGCCAGCAGCCGC